This 68-nucleotide transfer RNA is filed under the name Evania appendigaster. RNAcentral describes it as "tRNA-Ala". The record is from RNAcentral. Lineage: Eukaryota; Metazoa; Arthropoda; Insecta; Hymenoptera; Evaniidae.
AGGGUAAUAAUUUAAUAAAAAUACCUGAAUUGCAAUCAGGAUAUAUAUCUUCCUCAUUAUUUACCUUA